This 34-nucleotide transfer RNA is filed under the name Niphotrichum elongatum. RNAcentral's name for it is "partial tRNA-Leu". Lineage: Eukaryota; Viridiplantae; Streptophyta; Bryopsida; Grimmiales; Grimmiaceae. RNAcentral also lists the same sequence under 18 other names. The record is from RNAcentral.
GACUUAAAUAAUUUGAGCGACCGUGAGGGUUCAA